This 497-nucleotide ribosomal RNA is filed under the name uncultured bacterium. Its description in RNAcentral is "partial 16S ribosomal RNA". It matches the Rfam family "Bacterial small subunit ribosomal RNA", at positions 28 to 507 of the family's 1533-position model. The record is from RNAcentral.
GAUGAACGCUGGCGGCGUGCCUAAUACAUGCAAGUCGAGCGAACAGACGAGGAGCUUGCUCCUCUGACGUUAGCGGCGGACGGGUAAGUAACACGUGGAUAACCUACUUAAAAUACGGGGAAAAUUUGGGAAAACGGGCGAAAAUCCGGGAUAAUAUAUUGAUCCGUAUGGUUCAUUGGUAAAAGACGGUUUUUCGGUAACUAAUCGAUGGUUCGGCGCGUCUUUGGCUAGUUGGUAAGGUAACGGCUUAUAAAGGCAAGGAGGCGUGGCCGACCGGGGAGGGUGAUCGGCCACACUGGAACUGAGACACGCUCCAGACGCCUACGGGAGGCAGCAGUAGGGAAUCUUCCGCAAUGGUCGAAAGCCUGACGGAGCAACGCCGCGUGAGUGAUGAAGGUCUUCGGAUCGUAAAACUCUGUUAUUAGUGAAGAACAAAUGUGUAAGUAACUAUGCACGUCUUGACGGUACCUAAUCAGAAAGCCACGGCUAACUACGUG